Molecule: long non-coding RNA, 208 nt
Filed under: Ananas comosus (pineapple)
Lineage: Eukaryota; Viridiplantae; Streptophyta; Magnoliopsida; Poales; Bromeliaceae
Description: long non-coding RNA (ACOM_LNC019125)
Source: RNAcentral
CACCCAUCGUCCAAUCCGUCGCCGCCAUGUCAUCCUAUAAUUUUUUUUGAGAGAUAGGUAAUAUGUCACCAGUUCUGUUUAUUUCAUUUAGAAAUAAACUUAAUUAGAAAUGUGAAUCAAUUAGGAUUCGAACUUAAAAUUUCAGAUAUUUACUAUCAAGUUUUUUGCCACUUGCGCUAGGGACGGUCGGUCCAUGUUAUCGUAUAAU